GACGAACGCUGGCGGCGUGCUUAACACAUGCAAGUCGAACGGAAAGGCCUCUUUCGGUGGGUACUCGAGUGGCGAACGGGUGAGUAACACGUGAGUAACCUGCCCUUGACUUUGUGAUAACUUCAGGAAACUGUGGCUAUUACCGGAUAGGAGCUCCUGCUGCAUGGUGGGGGUUGGAAAGUUUCGGCGGUUGGGGAUGGACUCGCGGCUUAUCAGCUUGUUGGUGGGGUAGUGGCUUACCAAGGCUUUGACGGGUAGCCGGCCUGAGAGGGUGACCGGCCACAUUGGGACUGAGAUACGGCCCAGACUCCUACGGGAGGCAGCAGUGGGGAAUAUUGCACAAUGGGUGGAAGCCUGAUGCAGCAACGCCGUGUGCGGGAUGACGGCCUUCGGGUUGUAAACCGCUUUCGCUCAUGACGAAGCUUUGUGUGACGGUAGUGGGUAAAGAAGCACCGGCUAACUACGUG
This 467-nucleotide ribosomal RNA is filed under the name uncultured bacterium. RNAcentral's name for it is "partial 16S ribosomal RNA". It matches the Rfam family "Bacterial small subunit ribosomal RNA", at positions 28 to 507 of the family's 1533-position model. The record is from RNAcentral.